This 800-nucleotide ribosomal RNA is filed under the name Microbacterium sp. RNAcentral describes it as "bacterial SSU rRNA". It matches the Rfam family "Bacterial small subunit ribosomal RNA", at positions 51 to 862 of the family's 1533-position model. The record is from RNAcentral. Lineage: Bacteria; Bacillati; Actinomycetota; Actinomycetes; Micrococcales; Microbacteriaceae.
ACACAUGCAGUCGAACGGUGAAGCAGAGCUUGCUCUGUGGAUCAGUGGCGAACGGGUGAGUAACACGUGAGCAACCUGCCCUGGACUCUGGGAUAAGCGCUGGAAACGGCGUCUAAUACUGGAUACGAGACGUGGCCGCAUGGUCAACGUUUGGAAAGAUUUUUUGGUUCAGGAUGGGCUCGCGGCCUAUCAGCUUGUUGGUGAGGUAAUGGCUCACCAAGGCGUCGACGGGUAGCCGGCCUGAGAGGGUGACCGGCCACACUGGGACUGAGACACGGCCCAGACUCCUACGGGAGGCAGCAGUGGGGAAUAUUGCACAAUGGGCGAAAGCCUGAUGCAGCAACGCCGCGUGAGGGAUGACGGCCUUCGGGUUGUAAACCUCUUUUAGCAAGGAAGAAGCGAAAGUGACGGUACUUGCAGAAAAAGCGCCGGCUAACUACGUGCCAGCAGCCGCGGUAAUACGUAGGGCGCAAGCGUUAUCCGGAAUUAUUGGGCGUAAAGAGCUCGUAGGCGGUUUGUCGCGUCUGCUGUGAAAACUGGAGGCUCAACCUCCAGCCUGCAGUGGGUACGGGCAGACUAGAGUGCGGUAGGGGAGAUUGGAAUUCCUGGUGUAGCGGUGGAAUGCGCAGAUAUCAGGAGGAACACCGAUGGCGAAGGCAGAUCUCUGGGCCGUAACUGACGCUGAGGAGCGAAAGGGUGGGGAGCAAACAGGCUUAGAUACCCUGGUAGUCCACCCCGUAAACGUUGGGAACUAGUUGUGGGGACCAUUCCACGGUUUCCGUGACGCAGCUAACGCAUUA